This is an unclassified non-coding RNA of Myotis lucifugus (little brown bat), 310 nucleotides long. Its record names the gene 7SK. It matches the Rfam family "7SK RNA". From Rfam's summary of the family: 7SK was discovered as an abundant small nuclear RNA in the mid-70s but a possible function has only recently been suggested. Two independent studies have found that 7SK RNA binds the CDK9/cyclin T complex (known as elongation factor P-TEFb). The record is from Ensembl. Lineage: Eukaryota; Metazoa; Chordata; Mammalia; Chiroptera; Vespertilionidae.
GGAUGUGAGGGCGAUCUGGCUGCGACAUCUGUCACCCCAUUGAUCGCCAGGGUUGAUUCGGCUGAUCUGGCUGGCUAGGCGGGUGUCCCCCUCCUCCCUCACCGAUCCAUGUGCGUCCCUCCCGAAGCUGCGCGCUCGGUCAAAGAGGACGACCUUCCCCGCCCCCCGCCAGGAGAGGAUCGGUCUUCGGUCAAGGGUAUACCAGUAGCUGCGCUCCCCUGCUAGAACCUCCAAAACAAGCUCUCAAAUAAGAGAAUAAAAGCUAACAAUGUAUUGCUAUUUACCAUGAAAUAGUGGACUUUUUAAAGAU